ACUAAGCGUACACGGUGGAUGCCCUGGCAGUCAGAGGCGAUGAAGGACGUGCUAAUCUGCGAUAAGCGUCGGUGAGGUGAUAUGAACCGUUAUAACCGGCGAUUUCCGAAUGGGGAAACCCAGUGUGUUUCGACACACUAUCAUUAACUGAAUCCAUAGGUUAAUGAGGCGAACCGGGGGAACUGAAACAUCUAAGUACCCCGAGGAAAAGAAAUCAACCGAGAUUCCCCCAGUAGCGGCGAGCGAACGGGGAGGAGCCCAGAGCCUGAAUCAGUGUGUGUGUUAGUGGAAGCGUCUGGAAAGGCGUGCGAUACAGGGUGACAGCCCCGUACACAAAAAUGCACAUAUUGUGAGCUCGAUGAGUAGGGCGGGACACGUGGUAUCCUGUCUGAAUAUGGGGGGACCAUCCUCCAAGGCUAAAUACUCCUGACUGACCGAUAGUGAACCAGUACCGUGAGGGAAAGGCGAAAAGAACCCCGGCGAGGGGAGUGAAAAAGAACCUGAAACCGUGUACGUACAAGCAGUGGGAGCCUCUUAAUGGGGUGACUGCGUACCUUUUGUAUAAUGGGUCAGCGACUUAUAUUCUGUAGCAAGGUUAACCGAAUAGGGGAGCCGAAGGGAAACCGAGUCUUAACUGGGCGUUAAGUUGCAGGGUAUAGACCCGAAACCCGGUGAUCUAGCCAUGGGCAGGUUGAAGGUUGGGUAACACUAACUGGAGGACCGAACCGACUAAUGUUGAAAAAUUAGCGGAUGACUUGUGGCUGGGGGUGAAAGGCCAAUCAAACCGGGAGAUAGCUGGUUCUCCCCGAAAGCUAUUUAGGUAGCGCCUCGUGAAUUCAUCUCCGGGGGUAGAGCACUGUUUCGGCAAGGGGGUCAUCCCGACUUACCAACCCGAUGCAAACUGCGAAUACCGGAGAAUGUUAUCACGGGAGACACACGGCGGGUGCUAACGUCCGUCGUGAAGAGGGAAACAACCCAGACCGCCAGCUAAGGUCCCAAAGUCAUGGUUAAGUGGGAAACGAUGUGGGAAGGCCCAGACAGCCAGGAUGUUGGCUUAGAAGCAGCCAUCAUUUAAAGAAAGCGUAAUAGCUCACUGGUCGAGUCGGCCUGCGCGGAAGAUGUAACGGGGCUAAACCAUGCACCGAAGCUGCGGCAGCGACACUAUGUGUUGUUGGGUAGGGGAGCGUUCUGUAAGCCUGUGAAGGUGGCCUGUGAGGGUUGCUGGAGGUAUCAGAAGUGCGAAUGCUGACAUAAGUAACGAUAAAGCGGGUGAAAAGCCCGCUCGCCGGAAGACCAAGGGUUCCUGUCCAACGUUAAUCGGGGCAGGGUGAGUCGACCCCUAAGGCGAGGCCGAAAGGCGUAGUCGAUGGGAAACAGGUUAAUAUUCCUGUACUUGGUGUUACUGCGAAGGGGGGACGGAGAAGGCUAUGUUGGCCGGGCGACGGUUGUCCCGGUUUAAGCGUGUAGGCUGGUUUUCCAGGCAAAUCCGGAAAACCAAGGCUGAGGCGUGAUGACGAGGCACUACGGUGCUGAAGCGACAAAUGCCCUGCUUCCAGGAAAAGCCUCUAAGCAUCAGGUAACAUCAAAUCGUACCCAAAACCGACACAGGUGGUCAGGUAGAGAAUACCAAGGCGCUUGAGAGAACUCGGGUGAAGGAACUAGGCAAAAUGGUGCCGUAACUUCGGGAGAAGGCACGCUGAUAUGUAGGUGAAGCGACUUGCUCGUGGAGCUGAAAUCAGUCGAAGAUACCAGCUGGCUGCAACUGUUUAUUAAAAACACAGCACUGUGCAAACACGAAAGUGGACGUAUACGGUGUGACGCCUGCCCGGUGCCGGAAGGUUAAUUGAUGGGGUUAGCGGUAACGCGAAGCUCUUGAUCGAAGCCCCGGUAAACGGCGGCCGUAACUAUAACGGUCCUAAGGUAGCGAAAUUCCUUGUCGGGUAAGUUCCGACCUGCACGAAUGGCGUAAUGAUGGCCAGGCUGUCUCCACCCGAGACUCAGUGAAAUUGAACUCGCUGUGAAGAUGCAGUGUACCCGCGGCAAGACGGAAAGACCCCGUGAACCUUUACUAUAGCUUGACACUGAACAUUGAGCCUUGAUGUGUAGGAUAGGUGGGAGGCUUUGAAGUGUGGACGCCAGUCUGCAUGGAGCCGACCUUGAAAUACCACCCUUUAAUGUUUGAUGUUCUAACGUUGGCCCGUAAUCCGGGUUGCGGACAGUGUCUGGUGGGUAGUUUGACUGGGGCGGUCUCCUCCUAAAGAGUAACGGAGGAGCACGAAGGUUGGCUAAUCCUGGUCGGACAUCAGGAGGUUAGUGCAAUGGCAUAAGCCAGCUUGACUGCGAGCGUGACGGCGCGAGCAGGUGCGAAAGCAGGUCAUAGUGAUCCGGUGGUUCUGAAUGGAAGGGCCAUCGCUCAACGGAUAAAAGGUACUCCGGGGAUAACAGGCUGAUACCGCCCAAGAGUUCAUAUCGACGGCGGUGUUUGGCACCUCGAUGUCGGCUCAUCACAUCCUGGGGCUGAAGUAGGUCCCAAGGGUAUGGCUGUUCGCCAUUUAAAGUGGUACGCGAGCUGGGUUUAGAACGUCGUGAGACAGUUCGGUCCCUAUCUGCCGUGGGCGCUGGAGAACUGAGGGGGGCUGCUCCUAGUACGAGAGGACCGGAGUGGACGCAUCACUGGUGUUCGGGUUGUCAUGCCAAUGGCACUGCCCGGUAGCUAAAUGCGGAAGAGAUAAGUGCUGAAAGCAUCUAAGCACGAAACUUGCCCCGAGAUGAGUUCUCCCUGACUCCUUGAGGGUCCUGAAGGAACGUUGAAGACGACGACGUUGAUAGGCCGGGUGUGUAAGCGCAGCGAUGCGUUGAGCUAACCGGUACUAAUGAACCGUGAGGCUUAACC
This 2893-nucleotide ribosomal RNA is filed under the name Escherichia coli. Its description in RNAcentral is "bacterial LSU rRNA". It matches the Rfam family "Bacterial large subunit ribosomal RNA". The record is from RNAcentral. Lineage: Bacteria; Pseudomonadati; Pseudomonadota; Gammaproteobacteria; Enterobacterales; Enterobacteriaceae. RNAcentral also lists the same sequence under 1 other name.